GACGAACGCUGGCGGCGUGCCUAAUACAUGCAAGUAGAACGCACAGUUUAUACCGUAGCUUGCUACACCAUAGACUGUGAGUUGCGAACGGGUGAGUAACGCGUAGGUAACCUGCCUGGUAGCGGGGGAUAACUAUUGGAAACGAUAGCUAAUACCGCAUAAUAUUAAUUAUUGCAUGAUAAUUAAUUGAAAGGUGCAAUUGCACCACUACCAGAUGGACCUGCGUUGUAUUAGCUAGUAGGUGAGGUAACGGCUCACCAAGGCAACGAUACAUAGCCGACCUGAGAGGGUGAUCGCCCACACUGGAACUGAGACACGGCCAAGACUCCUACGGGAGGAAGCAGUAGGGAAUCUUCGGCAAUGGCCGAAAGCUUGACGGAGCAACGCCGCGUGAGUGAGGAAGGUUUUCGGAUCUUAAAGCCCUGUUUUAAGGGAAGAACGGAUGUGGAAUUGAAAGUUCACACCUUGACGGUAACUUAACAGAAAGGGACGGCUAACUACGUG
RNAcentral lists this ribosomal RNA (504 nucleotides) under uncultured bacterium. Its description in RNAcentral is "partial 16S ribosomal RNA". It matches the Rfam family "Bacterial small subunit ribosomal RNA", at positions 28 to 507 of the family's 1533-position model. The record is from RNAcentral.